This 1127-nucleotide long non-coding RNA is filed under the name Oryzias sinensis (Chinese medaka). RNAcentral's name for it is "lncRNA (ENSOSIG00000020891.1)". Lineage: Eukaryota; Metazoa; Chordata; Actinopteri; Beloniformes; Adrianichthyidae. The record is from RNAcentral.
CUCAUGCUGCUUAAAAUUGCAUGUUACGUUACUUCAAAUAAGAAAAGAUAUUAAUUUAAGUAGAAAAUAGACAGAAAAGAAGGAAUAGUGGAGGAUAGAGGGAAACUUAGAGAAACAUUUAUCUUGAAAGUUUUAUUUAAAAAAAGGACAUAAGCGUAAAAAAUGUUUUAGAGUUUAGAGAAAACAGUUGAAAUUGUUACUGUAAGAACACAUUUAAUUAUGUAAAAUAACUCAAUAAUUUCUUCUAAAAGUGUUCUUUACCAGAAUUUGUGCUCAAAUAAAGACGUAGCAUCUGAAUAAAAUCAGGCUGUCCAAUCCUUGGUUUUUCAGCGGCCUGCAGAGGCAUCUUGACUUUCACAGUCCCUUCUCAUUUACCCCGCCAUUUUAUUUUGAAAAUGCUCUAAGCUAUGUUUUCCCUCUUCCUCCAAACACCUGGGCUGGCUUGACCUCGGACUUUCUCACAUUGGAGACCUGUGCGAAAGGAGGGGGACAUGUUUGUAAAGGAACACUCUGGGGAAUUCCAAGCAAGCUCUGAAGCCCCUGAGGAUCUUCGUGCUGCCAGGAAACCUCAGACCCAUCUUGGCAACCAGGAAGAAAACUGACUGAUGUAAAGUGAAUCCACCUAAAGCUUGCUGCAGAAAAACAACAUCAGCAGUGAUGCAUUAGCAGCUGCAAUCCCCUACUGAUGAGACACGAAGCAUAGCUUUAUAAUUAAGGAAACUUUACAUCUCACUGUGUAAAUCAAAGAAGUGAGGAGAAAAUCAGAGGAUUUGAAGAAAAGGAAAGUCUUGUGUAUUCCUAUGUCCACACUGAAUAGCAAAUUAAUGAGACAGGCUCUUGAUUUGCUGCAUAAGCACAUGGCUCUGCAAACCAAGGCAACAGAUACCUGAAUAGACAAAACUACUGGGUUAUUGACAGAGUGCAACAUGAAUCAAUGGAGAAUGGGCUCUGUUAAUGAGACUGUGCUCAGCUUCUUACAUUAACUCAGCUAGUUCUCAUAUGAUGUGGUGCUGAGGGUGCUCUUCAGCAAAGACAAACUUUCAAAAAUAAAAGUUUAAAGCAAAUUUGCUUUUAUUUUAUUGUUUUAUAAAAAGAAAACAACAUACAUUUAACUUAGCACAAAAAAG